This 863-nucleotide long non-coding RNA is filed under the name Oryza sativa (Asian cultivated rice). RNAcentral describes it as "long non-coding RNA (OSAT_LNC001085)". The record is from RNAcentral. Lineage: Eukaryota; Viridiplantae; Streptophyta; Magnoliopsida; Poales; Poaceae.
UUUGCCUUCAUUCUGUAGAGCUCCAGUUUCCAGGCUCCAGUUUGGUUCUCACAUAUAAUUGUGUGUCUUGAUUAAUUUUCUGUGAGCUCUUCAUCUGGUCUGGUAUCCUGUGAUUUUCUUUAUUUGCGUUUUUGGCUCUUGCUUGUGCUUAAUUUCUGAGGGGGUAGAGCAGAAGGAGCUUAGUAAAGAGUUCUUUUGCCGAGCAAAAUGGCAGGUUACCCUUUGCCUCUAAUUCCCAUGGCAUCGGGGUCGUUGUGCUGCUCGGAAAUUGAGUUCGUUCCUGGUUCUCACACUGCUCAAAAGCUGGCCUCUUUAUUCAGUGAGGCUGGUUGAGUGAGGCCAGGUGAACAUUUUUGUUUAAUAAAUUCGAUCUUGCUCACAUCUGCUUUGUUUGGGCACCUCAGUGAGAAUCUUUUCCUUGUCGGAAGGUAAAUAGUUUUCAGAUAAGACUAAGAGAUGCAUUUCUUUCUUUCUUUCUUGGGAUCUUUUCCUUCUUUUUUUUUUUUGCGAGCAAAAUUCAUCAUAAUUUGUUUCUGGGUUCUGCUGUUCUGCUCCUCCUCUUUUUGCUGCUAAUUCUUUUUUCAGGAAAUGCUGCAUGAUUCUGUAAACCACUAUUUUUUUUAGAUCAUAAACCACUACUGUUUAAUCAGUACUCCUACAUCUCACAUUUGCAGUGCAAAAACGAGCGAAUAUUUGUACAUUCUUAGUACAAUGUUUGGAAGCAUAAUAUAUUUUUCCUCCCUUUUUCUUUCUUUCUGAAGAACAGAUUGUUGGGGGUCCUGCAUGACAACAGUAGUCUGACAUUAGAGCAGGCUGAGGAGCAUCUGAUUUUAUUCCAUGGAUUUCAUUUCACUCAUCCCACA